AUCGCUUCUCGGCUUUUGGCUAAGAUCAAGUGUAGUAUCUGUUCUUAUCAGUUUAAUAUCUGAUACGUCCCCUAUCUGGGGACCAUAUAUUAAAUGGAUUUUUGGAACAGGGAGAUGGAAGAAGAGCUUGCUCUGUCCACUCCACGCAUCGACCUGGUAUUGCAGUACCUCCAGGACCGGGUGCACCUCUC
RNAcentral lists this small nuclear RNA (191 nucleotides) under Xenopus tropicalis (tropical clawed frog). RNAcentral's name for it is "U2 spliceosomal RNA (ENSXETG00000047890.1)". It matches the Rfam family "U2 spliceosomal RNA". From Rfam's summary of the family: U2 is a small nuclear RNA (snRNA) component of the spliceosome (involved in pre-mRNA splicing). Complementary binding between U2 snRNA (in an area lying towards the 5' end but 3' to hairpin I) and the branchpoint sequence (BPS) of the intron results the bulging out of an unpaired adenosine, on the BPS, which initiates a nucleophilic attack at the intronic 5' splice site, thus starting the first of two transesterification reactions that mediate splicing. Lineage: Eukaryota; Metazoa; Chordata; Amphibia; Anura; Pipidae. The record is from Rfam by way of RNAcentral.